Xiphophorus hellerii (green swordtail) is the source of this 2307-nucleotide long non-coding RNA. RefSeq lists it as uncharacterized. The record is from RefSeq and is a predicted model, not a curated record. The transcript is spliced from 2 exons. NCBI's taxonomy places the organism in Eukaryota, Metazoa, Chordata, Actinopteri, Cyprinodontiformes, Poeciliidae.
AUCAAUCACUGAUUAUUGGUUGUUUGCUGUGAUGUAUUUGUGAACAAACCCAACUCAAACACAAAGAUUACACCAUAUUGUAGCCAUGGCAACACAACAAUCAAAUUGUCAAGAUGGUUCUUUAAACUUUUACAGGGUAAACUCCCUGCUUAAAUCCUAAAUGUACAAUUCUUUUCUUAUCAGCGCGCAGUACUCCGAUGAUGUUUUGUUACUCAUUCUGCUGCAAGUUGGCUCAAUUUUGACGCGCAAGACGUAACCGGUAAAAUCCGGUUUAGGAUUUUCAAAAUAAAAGAUCCGGAAGUAGUUCAUUAUUUCUUGUGCGGACCGGUACCAGUCGGUGGCCCGGUGGUUGGGUACCACUGAUCUAGUGGAUGAAGAGGGAAGCAGCAGGCAACAGAAAAUCCCCCAAAAGAGCCAAACCUCGGUUCCCAACAUUUAUUAUAAGUUAUUGGGGUCACAAUCAGUGGUUUAUGUCACUAUGGAGAAAAAUGUAGAUGCAUUUAUCUGCUGUAUGUGUGAUGGGAUCUGGAUUCACGCUUCAAUUAGGUGAAUAUUAACAAUACCGCAUAAAAAUGCGGCUAAGUAGCCGAUGUUAAUAUGACUAUAAUUUGACAGGUAAAAAUAGUAUAUGACCGAUUUUUUUAAUGUGGUCAGUCAAGAUGACGGAUAACAAAAAAGUCUAGCGCGACCUCUGAUUGGCAUUGUUAAAAGUAGAAAAAUAGUCAGCAAUUUCAUAAAGUCAGUUGAUGCUGGCAUUAGCUAUAAAGUGUGGGGUAAGUAUGGAGACACACUACCUGAAAAGCUUUCCAUCCAUUGACACGCUGGUCCUUGCAGGGUGGUGAGGGGGGCUGGUGGUGCCCAUCUCCAGCAGCCAUCAGAUGAGAGUCGGGGUUCACCCUGAACAUGUCACCAGUCCAUUACAGAGUUCUGAAAGCUAACAAUGAAUAUAAUGUAUGAAAGAGAAAUGGUACAAUAACAAAGGGAAUACAUUCUGUCAAAUUAUUUUCAAAUCAAUACAUGUUUAUUAAGCACUUUGUAGUGUUGGAAAUACACUAGUUUCUGCUGUUGUUAAAAUGUAGCCAGCUGCUCAGUAAGAAAAAAACUUGUCCCAUGAAGACGAUGUGGAGAUUUAUCCAAAGAACUGUGGUGGUGCUCUUUUGGGGCCCGGGCCCCUUCUGAGACAGGAAAGUCUUUAGGUUUUGUAAUACCUGGUCCCUCGCUUCCUCUUUCACCUUGAUUUGCUUAGACUGCAAAAAUAGGUUGAAGAUAAAAAUGAGUGAUAACAGCCUCACAACAAAGUCUCCUUGACAUACUGAGUUUAAUUAAAACCAGAUUAAGUUAUAUUUAAGAUUACCACCAGCUAGCAAAAAGUUAGCAUCCUUUGUCCCUUCAGGCUCCUUUCAUGACCCACGUUUCAUUUCCAUCCAGUUCUUGUCCAGUUGAGUUGUCGUCUAACUCGGACUAGGACGUCACCAGCUUGAAUUUACCAAAACUACUAACUAUUAUCAAGGCUCUCUCUACUUUUAAGGGAAUAUUAUCAAACUUAUUACUAAUGUGUGCCUUGUCAUGCUAUUUUCUUAGAAUUUUCUAUGAAGACUGGAAAAAACAACAAAACAUUGCCAUAAAUUCACCUUUUAAUGCAAAACGUCACAUGCAGCAACGAAUUGCUGCAUGUGACGUUUUGCAUUAAAAGGUGAAUUGUAAUAGAUUCGACCAAAGUCUGCCUGGAUGCGGACUUAAAGGUGGAAAUAGGACCCAAAAUGGGCGGGGUGAAGGGCGCCCAGUUGGAUGUGGAGAAUGUGGGACACACUACGCACUCAAACCCUUCAACAUGAACGCGCAUUAGAAGAACACAAGGGUGGAACCAGGGUGGGAGUGGGAGUAUUGGGACAGGGCCUACGUGUUCAUGUUUAUGAGUUUGAAACAGUUCCUGUAUUGGUCACAUGACUUUCUUAUCGCGAUAUGCACACUGACACAUGCUCCGACGUGUUGCCGGACAAACCACUGCCUCCUGUGGAUCCCAGUGGGAAGUUCAGCUGCCUGAAAGCAGGAUACCAUUUCUACCUCUCUGCCUCGCUCCAUCAGACUUCUAGAUCUCUAAUAUGACCGCCGAUCUCUUUCUCACCUCUGGAAUUAUCAUAAUCCAUUCACCACACCGGACUCUGGCUGUUCCUCCCUAGUGCACCACUCAGAUCCGUUCAAGAACGGAACCGUUCCUGUGAUCUUCCCACUCCAGAAAAACAAGAAGAUCUUUUCACCUGUACAAUCUGAUCUCAAUUUGAAAAUAAAUACAAUUUCUUUAUGUGG